GACGAACGCUGGCGGCGUGCUUAACACAUGCAAGUCGAACGGAAAGGCCCUGCUUGCAGGGUACUCGAGUGGCGAACGGGUGAGUAACACGUGGGUGAUCUGCCCUGCACUUCGGGAUAAGCUUGGGAAACUGGGUCUAAUACCGGAUAGGAGCCAUCUUUAGUGUGGUGGUUGGAAAGUUUUUUCGGUGUAGGAUGAGCUCGCGGCCUAUCAGCUUGUUGGUGGGGUAAUGGCCUACCAAGGCGGCGACGGGUAGCCGGCCUGAGAGGGUGUACGGCCACCUUGGGCCUGGGAUACGGCCCAGACUCCUACGGGGGGGAGCAGGGGGGAAUAUUGCACAAUGGGCGCAAGCCGGAGGCAGGGACGCCGGGUGGGGGAUGAAGGCCUUCGGGUUGUAAACCCCUUUCGCUGGGGACGAAGCUUUUUGGGACGGUACCUAGAAAAGAAGCCCCGGCAAACUACGG
Molecule: ribosomal RNA, 464 nt
Filed under: uncultured bacterium
Lineage: Bacteria
Description: partial 16S ribosomal RNA
Rfam family: Bacterial small subunit ribosomal RNA
Source: RNAcentral